Betta splendens (Siamese fighting fish) is the source of this 8254-nucleotide long non-coding RNA. RefSeq lists it as uncharacterized. The transcript is spliced from 2 exons. The record is from RefSeq and is a predicted model, not a curated record. Lineage: Eukaryota; Metazoa; Chordata; Actinopteri; Anabantiformes; Osphronemidae.
GCAGACUCAUUCCAGACCAGGAAGAAGAAAUUGUCGCUGAUUGGAUCAUCAAUAUUGAUGCUGGGGUCUGAGGAAGCGCCGACAAGGAUCCUGGAAAAAAAAGCAUCCAACAUGUCAACAGUUUACUCAGCAAACACAAAGGGCGAGCGUUAAGGGCCCAGCCUGGUAUUCCUCCCCUCCCAUAACGGAUGGCACCCGUUCCUCAUCUUCCACCAACACUGCCAACUCGCUGUCUUUACAGCCCAGCAUGCUGCGGUCAUUGAUGUUGGCUGAUCCUGGAGCACGAGAGGAAAGUACACUACAGGCGUUCACAAUCUGUCCCUUCACAGGCAACGCUACCAUCAAACGCAGAGCAACUAUCAGAGUUAAACUGAAGUAUACGUUAGAAGUGCUAUGGUGUUCUGCUAUCGUGCAUCUGUGUUUGAGUGAGUUCAUGCAGGUUUUGACUCACCAAUGAUAUAGCAGCGGUCAUCGGCAAUGAGGGUUUUGCUGUGGACAUAAAUCAGCUCUGUGACCAGUGACUUGGAGAGAUGGGAAUAGGUUCUCAGGCCACACAGGGUGAUGUACUCCGUCCACUGGUCCUGCACUACUGGGCCAAAGAGGAACUCAAUUAAUGUCUGUCUGUUAUUGAACUUAUUGAAUUACGGACUCUUUAAAUGAAUAUGAAAAGAAAGUGAGCGAGUCAAGAAUCAAAAUGGAGGCUAUUAGCGAGGUACCUAGUAUGAGCAGCUUCAGUUUAAAGGAGCCACGCAAGGAGAAACAGAAGCACGUGUUAGAGAAACAAGAAACAAGAGGGAUUUUGUGUUGUCAGGUGGAUCUGUGUGUUAAAGUUAAGUGACGAUGAGUUUACCUUCAUGAAGUCUCUCCAGGAUAGAGUACUCCCCACGACACAUGGUCCUAGAAAUAUGCAUGACACAGGGAAUUGAAACUAUGAAGCUUUAUUGUGGUAAUAUUUACAAGCUGACUAGGCUUCUUGUGCACUAAGAGACAAUACAGCUUUAAGAAGCUUUAUGAAGAAGCAUUUUAUGAUAUAUUUAAAUUUAUAUGAACAAACAUGAAAAUUCUAAAUGAUACUGUGAGGAAUAGUCUCACCUGUAAGUAAAGUGCAGAAUAGCUUGAAUGGCAUUUCCACCUCCCACAUUAAUGUCUCCCUCAAAUCCAGGAAGCAGCGGAACCACCACAAACACUCUGUACUUCUUCUGCUCCCUACAAUAAGACAAUAUGUACACGUCCACAACUAUAGCUUAUUUCUAUUUAAUUUCAUGUUUCGUGUGAUCACAUAAAUCUGGCUGGUACAGUCCAAAGUGACCUGUGUGCGCGGAGAAUUCGUGCCACGAUUGCAUCACCGAUCCCGUUGUAGACAGUUCUCCCAUCGGCACAGCUGAUGAAGAACUGGUUCUAAGGGCAGAGAAAAAGCAGAUGGUGGCACGGCAUGAGGUGAGGGCUGAAACAGGCACGCGGCCAGCUACGCGUGCGGCUGCAUCCAAACGUUUGAAACGCCAUCACAAUGCCCUCGUUGGCUGCAGAAUCUUACAGUAAUACAGUGAAAUGAAGCAGCUGCUUUACCUCGAUGUAGAUGUAGUGCUCGCUCUUCUCGAUGACGUCGACGUAGGCCUGGCAGAUGGACUUCUCACAGGUUCCAGUUGACCAGCGGUCGGCCGAGCGCAACACCUAAGGAAGUUACACAUUAACAGGGAAAUGUCUUCUGGUUUAUGAGAACAAGGCAACGCUGUGCACAGAUAUGGUAAAUGUUCAACCGAGGAAUUUCUAUUACUGCAGCACUAUCACAUCAGCCUUUAUUGUCACCUACACAUGCAGCUCUCACACAUUACCCCUGAAACCUGAAUAAAGAAGAAACCCAACCUGAUAUAAAGCUACAGUGUCAUGAUGAGUGGAGGUUAGAGUUACAAGCCACUGCCCACAAAGGAAAUAAGUAAUUAAAGUGUGUGAAAUCAUUUAUUAGUGAUUCCUAACAACUUUAUUAUCCAAUAGGUCUCCCAAUGUCAACAACAAUACAGCUUGUUUAUAUUCUGUCCUCUAGAGGAUAUUUUUAUACACAUUAACUUUCAUUUAUGUUUAAACAAUAUUAAAGUGAGUGUUGCUACAACUGAUGUGUCUAUGCUUCCCCAUCAAGCGUAUCCAUGUCCUCCUUUCCUGUUCUUGGCAGCACGUUUGUUUUCUCUGGACUUAUUGAACAGGAUAAACAUGUUGGAAGUGAUUUUGCUGCACAGGCUUUGCUCUUGUUCCACCAUCUGCCACAGAAAACACUCAGAAGACUUCUCAGACACCAGAACAGUGCCUCUUUGUUGUACUGCAUGUAAUCCCAUUUCAUUUCAAGCUACAUCUGACUUGGUGUAAAACAUGAUUAAUCUAAAGUAGAAGCGGACAGAUGCCUUCAGGCUUGUUGCAAUACCUUUUUUUCAUAAUAUUUUCAGUAAUUUUACAUAUUUCUCAAAAUUAAAAUAGUCCUGCAGCACAGUUUAUUUUAGGAUUUCAAACGUGGAUGUAAUACAAUUUCUACUCUUUAGUUUCUUUCAGCUUUUUUUGGUGUAGCUCUUUGAAACUCAUAAAUUGGAUGAGAGACAUCUUAAUCUAAAAAGUAAUUUGUAUUUCGGUGAAAUAUUUUCUUAUUUUUUUCACCUUUUUGAACAGGGUGAUCUGUGAACUGCCUAUAAUGUGCAGACGACCUGGUUUGUGGUGUGGCACACAGGAUUGCAUCAUCAACAUAAAAAUAUGCCUCAGAGUCCAGUCGGAGUCUAGACCUCAGACCAAUAUAGAUGCUGCGUCAUAAUUGCAAGACAGCUACUCACACCAGACAUCUGAAAAAUAUGGCACGAACUGAAGUUGUGUGAGGACAUAUUGUUCAAAUUGAGGCCACAGCUACAGUACCAGAACUAUUUGCUUUAGAGCUAUGAGUAUUUCUUUCAACUGAAGAUUAAUACUGUACAGUAGCUGAUUAUUCUUAUCUGUGCUGACGUGUGUUUAAAGUUCCACGUGUUUUUUCUGGAUUGCUCGAUUGUGAAGCUAGAGUGAAUAUCUGAGGUUCAAUCUUUGGUGCGCUUACAAUAGGACACGGUUCUCUAUUAGAGAUGCAACCCAAAAGAAACACAAAGAAAGUCUGAUUCAUCUGGAAGCUGGAAGAGAGUUAUGGCCAUUACCAGGAUAAUUGGAUGUGGCCGUGUCAUUUUCUUUUUCAUUAUUCUAUUACCAUGUUUAAAAGGAUAGGAAGCAUCUUGGUGAAAUGGCAGUACUGUCUUUUUUAAGCUGUCAAAACUAACUCAGCUGUAAUUCAUGAAAUCCCACAUGUAUUUUGGUGGUUGCGAGUGUGUGUUUAUAAAAACCUGAACUCUGGCUUUUCUAGACUCAGGAACGGUGAAUGGGAGCGAGUCGGCGGUGGAAUGAGACUUGGGAAGAAGGCAAGGGUAGAAGUCGUCCUUGUACUUGCUUUUGAAGAUCUGCGGGGGACAGAACGUGCCGUCAUCAGCCACGUUUUCUAUGACGCAGGUCGAAGAAUAACAACCAAAGGGAGGCAGAGUGGGACCUUGGUGAAGUUCCAGCGCUGGAUGAAGUGACGGGCCACAUCCCUGGCAGCUUUGCCGUGAAUAGCUGCAGACAGGUCGCGCCACGGCAUGCGGGGGACCCGAGUGCGGUCAAUGUUGUCUGAAGAACAUAUAAAAAGCAAUCCUGUCAGAUUCCACCGUACAGAACGUGCACGUGCUUGACACUGAAGGGGAUUCGGACGCCACACCUUCAAAAGGUUUGUCCAGUUGAACCCAGUCUUUCCUGAUGAAGUUGCUGUAGUCUUUCCCGAGCCACAGUUGAGUGUUUCCAGUCAGUGAAUCCGGACUCUUCUCGGCCGCACCGUUACCCUGCCCCGCGGCUGCUACGUCUGCCGUCUCCGACGAGCCCAGGUCCGUGAGCCGGUACCUACUGUCGUCCCACCUCCCGAACGCCAGGUCAAUCCCCCCGACGAAGGCCACAGUUUGGUCGAUCGCCACCAUCUUUUCAUGGUGAGCCCAAAAAAACACCGCGCUUGACACAUGGUCAGGGUGUCGCAUUACCUGCCAGAUGUAAAAGGAAGAGGGGAACUAUGAAACAACAGGCUUCUCUGUGGCUUCUAUUUUCUAUGAAUCUAGAGGUGCCCGACCUUGAUGUUGGGGUGCAUAUUCAUCAGAGUCCUCUUGCUGUGGUCGCUAUUUAUGCCAAGCGCUAGUUCCACCUCUUUGUAGAGUAGAACGCACACUUUGACUCCUUGUUCCUGCAGGAAAUUAUUCAGAGAGGUGAUGCCAUAUAAAAACAACCUUAAUAGUUGUACUGUAACUGAUAAUAAUUCUGACAAUCAAAAGCACGGGAACAAGUCAGAGAGGAUGCGUACAGCUUUGCGUUUGAGUAUCUCAUCCAGACGCCAGUAGUUAUCAGUUGCUGGUCUCUUUAGGUGGACUUCAGGGCUGAGCCUGAGCACAUAGAUGCAUAAAGCACAUUUUUACACAUUUGUACAUGUAAUACAUUACGUACAAUAUAUUUUUUUAGGUAAAUCAAUCUUAUUACCACCUACCACCAAUCUGUAAUGAAGAUUUCCUCUGCAGCUUGUUCCAGAGCAUUAGCUAGAUCCUCAAAGUAGCCGCUUCCAUUCACAUACCUUCAAAGAACGUUGAUACACCAGAGCAGUUUAGAAAAGGAAGAUGAAAACUCAAGACUGGAGUGGACCGUGUCUCACCAUUUAGUGAGUGUGUUGCUGCGCGGCGGUGCAAAUCCUCCAAAGCGCUGCUCUUUGACGAAGUCACAGGACUCUGCCAGCUCGUUGAUUUUAUGACUCCACCACUGACUUUGUCUGUAGCUGCUACAUUUGAUGAUGAGACUCCUGGAUAAAAAUUAAAGAAACAUACAUGUGUUACAUGCAGUCCUGUGCACGGCGAUGCUCAGGGAAGCACCCGGCCGACCUACCGUGUGAAGUUCUCAAAGCAGACUCCGUGUUUAGUGCCUGUGUGAGCGCCGCCCACCUUCACCGUGAACUCGGGGUCAAACAGCAGCACGAAGUUGAUGCAGGCGCUGUCCUUGUCCAUGUACAUCAGGAACGAGUCUUUCACCACCAGCCAGCGGCGCGACCAGCGGAAGCAGACCCGAUGGUGGCCGAGGCAGUUCAAGCCGAGCAGUCGGUGACCCCCUGACCUCUUGUCGAUGGGUCCCUCCCUGGGACAAACUGACAUCAACGAGAUCCUACGCAACAAACCUUUGAUGUUUGAACUUGAACAGAAGUUUGCUUACAGGCCUUUGGGUCCAAGGUCGGUUACAAAGGAGAGCGGACCGAUAGACAAAAAAUCCAGCUGGAAAAGAGACGAGGCAUCUCAACAACUUUGUACCGUUUGUGUAUUAUAUGUUAGUUUAACAGCUAUUACCAUGCUGUGAUGAUUUCUGAAUAAUGUGUUCUCCAGUAGGUCGUUCAGAAACUCCUCAAGAAAUUUCUGUAAUAAUAAGCGAUGUGAGGAGGUAAAUGAAUACAGAUAUUGGAAUGACUGGAUGUUAAAGUCAUCAUUCAAACAUGUGUGUAUUCAAUGGGGGGGUGCUGUACAUGUGUGUGACUGGUUUGUUGGAUACCGUUUUGCUGGAGGUCCUCCUGGUGCGCUCAGUCCCCUGCAGGCUGGGCAUUUCCUCUGGCAUCGCUCCCUGCUGCCUCUCCUUUGCAAAUCUUUGACAGGAGAUUUCCAUAUUCAAAAACAGCCCGUGCUUUAGAAACAAACCUAUGAUUUCAAAGUUCUCUUACAGGAAGAGAUUGAUGUACAUAAUACGAUCAGCACGCUGACCACCAACCUUCCUAAAGGCAGCAAAUGGACCAUGACCCAGUGCCUGUAAAGUUCUCGGUGCAGCUCCUGGAAGUGCUUGUACUUCCUCUUCACCGUCCAGUGGAACGGGCCGUGCGUUAAAUGCACUGUGUACAAGGUGCCCACGCGGACCUGGACGGACAUUGAUGGAAUAAUGCAGAUAACUUGAACUGAUGCUGCAAAAAAUUUACAGUGAAUGAUUUGGCAUCACUUAAUCACCUACAUGCACAGGGAAACGCUCUUUGGGCAGUGAGAAUAUAAGUUAACAUCUGUUUUGUUUCUCAAACGACUCCACAGGAAGCCAAUAAAACUCAGAGGAACAUCUGUGGAAUGCACUGACAAAGGUUCACAUGUGGGACGUCUUAGCAGAGUGUGACCCAAUCCUCCCCACAGCCGACACCAUUAUCUGCUCUCCAUUCACCACGACUGGCUGCACUGAAAACAUGUAACAACUGCAGCCUUGCUGAGUGCACACGCUCCUCGCUGCAUCUGGUUGCGUCAUUUCAGUGGAUUGCUGAUGCAGCGAUAAUCCAACGUACUGUCUCAAGUACACACUGCAGCCACUUAGUGUGCGCCAAUUUGGUUAACAGCAUGUGUGUGAUGGUAAAUAGCAGAUUGUUAUAUAGACCGAUCAACGUCUUUGCAGACUCAGGCCCCGUACCUUUGACUGAGUGGUGUGUUUCUCCGUGUUGUCCAUUUUGCAUGUGAUGGGAAUACCCGGCAGGAAGUAAAGUACAUCAGCUGCUUUGAUUUCUUGAAGAUGAUGAACCACCAGGAAAGCACGUCCCUCUGCAAUUUGCACAGUUUCUCAGUGAGUCGUUCACACCUCGGGCUCAAUGUGUCCAGUGUUUUUUUUUUUUUUUUCCUUACCACUGCUGGAAACCAGGCCGUCGAUCUCAUCUGGACUCAUGUUGUGAAAGUCGCGGGAGAAGCGUCUCCUCCCGAGGCGCGUCGCCGUGGCGUUCUGAGCCGCCGGCUCGAUCGCGUCCUCUGAACUGGCCAUUUUACAGACGCGGCAAAUGCCAGCUGUGAUGUCAGGUCUGAAAGAAGGACAUUUCAUUGUGUGAGUUUGAAAAACAAACAAACAAAAAAAAGCAUGUUUUUUUUUAAAAGACGGACAAAACACAAUCACACAGGAAGCGCAGUAACGAAGCAUUACACCAGUCUGUGGAUCAGGUCCUCAACAUGGCAGCACACGUACUGCGGAACAAAACCACCAUUGAAAGAAAAGGGUGUGUAACGUAUGUGUGUAUAGCGUGGAGAGAAGCAUGCGAUCGGCUGAAUGGUUCCUAGGCAACAGGGAAAAGCAGAGAGUGUGUUGUAAUGUUUGGUUCAGGUUUGCAUUCGGUUGUGUCACAGAUAAGACAAUGAUUUGUCCAGGUGUGAAUGUUUCCCAUGAGACAUAAACACCUGCUGUAUAAUCUUCUUGAUAUUAGUGGUGGAGUCUCUCGAGCCGUAACAUUACAUGAAGAACUGUAAUAACCUGCUCAUUGUAAGUUCCAUUAAACACCUACUACUACACCAAACUUCAACAGAGGAAAAAACACAACAACGUCAACCAAACAUGCUGUACAGUCUAAAACACAUGUUAAUCAUGUGUAUAUUUGUACAUGUUACAUUGACAGCGUAGAGUGAAGCAGAGGGGUUGGGGCUGAACAGCAUAAGCACUUCUCACCUACAUAAACCGUGCAAGACCGGAUCAAGUGCACUAGGUGUAAUAAUAAACAAUGGGUGAGUCCGCCAUCUGUGUCAUACUGGCCAGCAGCUGUGGUGGAAUGUAAAAAAUGAAGGUGUGCCAAUCAAGAUGAAACAAAACAAAUCAUACUGAAUGCAUAAAUGACAACAAUAGAAUACUCCGUUUGUCUUUUUGAAAUCUGAUGGCUCAUCUCAGACUCGGAGGAAUUGUGUCUCCUACUCUGUCAUCCUGCGAGUGGUCGAUGCACACAGACCCCAUCAGAUAGUGAUAUCCUGUGGAUCGCCUACACACUCAAGGCAACGUAGGCAAACAUCGACUUGACAAGAUUUUCUUGUUUGUUAAGUUGCUUAAGAUAAACUUUGUCAAGUCAUUUACUUGGUUGCAAGAGGAGUCCUGCACCACACCCACCUGCCCACUCACGCAGACAAUCGAUCUAAACGCUACCAAUAUGCAAAUAGAGACAUCUAUAAAGACUGACUCACCAAACCAAUGUGUAUUUACAAACGUAUAUACCAUCACAAUAAAUAAUGUACUGCUGUAAUUAUAGUGUGUGUCUAUACUAUGAAUAUGAGUUUCCAUGUGCCCAUCACUUUGUUUUGUACACACCACACCUACACUGUUGCAUGAGUCCUCAUUUUUUACAUCACUGUGAAAUACUGUACAACUUUACAGCUAUGCAACUAAACAUUUAUACAGUUUGUUUAAUAAAAUGUAAAUAAAACUCCACUGUAUUGCAGAA